AGAACGAACGCUGGCGGCGUGCUUAACACAUGCAAGUCGAACGCGAAAGUUUUCUUCGGAAAGCGAGUAGAGUGGCGCACGGGUGAGUAACGCGUAAGUAAUCUACCCUGGUAUCUGGGAUAACCCACCGAAAGGUGUGCUAAUACCGGAUACGCUGAUUUAUCAGGAAAGGUGGCCUCUUCAUGAAAGCUACUGUACCAGGAGGAGCUUGCGUACCAUUAGCUAGUUGGUAGGGUAAUGGCCUACCAAGGCGACGAUGGUUAGCGGGUCUGAGAGGAUGAUCCGCCACACUGGAACUGGAACACGGACCAGACUCCUACGGGAGGCAGCAGUGAGGAAUAUUGCGCAAUGGGGGAAACCCUGACGCAGCGACGCCGCGUGGAUGAUGAAGGCCUUCGGGUCGUAAAAUCCUGUCAGAUGGAAAGAAAUGUAUAGAGGUUAAUAUCCUUUAUAUUUGACGGUACCAUCAAAGGAAGCACCGGCUAACUCCGUGCCAGCAGCCGCGGUAAUACGGAGGGUGCAAGCGUUGUUCGGAAUUACUGGGCGUAAAGCGCGCGUAGGCGGCUUUUUAAGUCAGAUGUGAAAGUCCACGGCUCAACCGUGGAAGUGCAUUUGAAACUGGGGAGCUUGAGUACUGGAGGGGGUGGUGGAAUACCCGGUGUAGAGGUGAAAUUCGUAGAUAUCGGGAGGAAUACCGGUGGCGAAGGCGACCACCUGGCCAGAUACUGACGCUGAGGUGCGAAAGCGUGGGGAGCAAACAGGAUUAGAUACCCUGGUAGUCCACGCCGUAAACGAUGUCAACUAGGUGUUGGGGAGGUUAAUCUUCUCAUUGCCGCAGCUAACGCAUUAAGUUGACCGCCUGGGGAGUACGGUCGCAAGAUUA
Molecule: ribosomal RNA, 883 nt
Filed under: uncultured bacterium
Lineage: Bacteria
Description: bacterial SSU rRNA
Rfam family: Bacterial small subunit ribosomal RNA
Source: RNAcentral